UAGGGAAUCUUCGGCAAUGGACGAAAGUCUGACCGAGCAACGCCGCGUGAGUGAAGAAGGUUUUCGGAUCGUAAAACUCUGUUGUUAGAGAAGAACAAGGACGUUAGUAACUGAACGUCCCCUGACGGUAUCUAACCAGAAAGCCACGGCUAACUACGUUCCAGCAGCCGCGGUAAUACGUAGGUGGCAAGCGUUGUCCGGAUUUAUUGGGCGUAAAGCGAGCGCAGGCGGUUUCUUAAGUCUGAUGUGAAAGCCCCCGGCUCAACCGGGGAGGGUCAUUGGAAACUGGGAGACUUGAGUGCAGAAGAGGAGAGUGGAAUUCCAUGUGUAGCGGUGAAAUGCGUAGAUGUAUGGAGGAACACCAGUGGCGAAGGCGGCUCUCUGGUCUGUAACUGACGCUGAGGCUCGAAAGCGUGGGGAGCAAACAGG
Molecule: ribosomal RNA, 429 nt
Filed under: Chloroflexota bacterium
Lineage: Bacteria; Bacillati; Chloroflexota
Description: Chloroflexi bacterium partial 16S ribosomal RNA
Rfam family: Bacterial small subunit ribosomal RNA
Source: RNAcentral